RNAcentral lists this transfer RNA (74 nucleotides) under Deltaproteobacteria bacterium. RNAcentral's name for it is "tRNA-Arg". It matches the Rfam family "tRNA". From Rfam's summary of the family: Transfer RNA (tRNA) molecules are approximately 80 nucleotides in length. Their secondary structure includes four short double-helical elements and three loops (D, anti-codon, and T loops). Lineage: Bacteria; Pseudomonadati; Myxococcota; Myxococcia. The record is from RNAcentral.
GCACCCAUAGCUCAACUGGAUAGAGCAUCGGUCUACGGAACCGAAGGUUUCAGGUUCGAAUCCUGAUGGGUGUA